ACCUGGCUGGCUCAGUGGGUAGAGCAUAUGACUUUGAAUCUUGAGGUCAUGAGUUCGAGCCCCAUGUUGGGUG
This is a non-coding RNA of Nyctereutes procyonoides (raccoon dog), 73 nucleotides long. Lineage: Eukaryota; Metazoa; Chordata; Mammalia; Carnivora; Canidae. The record is from the annotation of a RefSeq genome assembly.